RNAcentral lists this long non-coding RNA (333 nucleotides) under Mytilus galloprovincialis (Mediterranean mussel). Lineage: Eukaryota; Metazoa; Mollusca; Bivalvia; Mytilida; Mytilidae. The record is from RNAcentral.
AAAUAUAGUAUGAGAGCCGUGGUGUAGUGGUUAGUGCAUCGGACUACUAACACAAAGGUGUCUGGUUCGAUUCCUGUCUGGGAUGAAAAUUUCAGGGACUGAAUUUUCGGCUCUCCCUUGACACCAUUUGCGAGUAUGGUCUUGAGGAAACGAUGAUAGUCCGUCGGAAGGGGACGAUAAAUGGCUGACCCGUGUUAAGAGAGAGCCAUAUCUAUUGCACGUUAAAGACACCUUUGUAGAUUUCGAAAAAGAGCAGGCUAAUGCCGCUGCAAGGCAGCACUCGCACCCACAAAGUGGAAAGGAAUUAAUAUAAGUUGCAAAACUUGUUUCCCA